This 1002-nucleotide long non-coding RNA is filed under the name Lonchura striata (white-rumped munia). RNAcentral describes it as "domestica (Bengalese finch) lncRNA (ENSLSDG00000005609.1)". The record is from RNAcentral. Lineage: Eukaryota; Metazoa; Chordata; Aves; Passeriformes; Estrildidae.
AUGUCCCCGUGUCCCCCCGUGUCCUUCAUCAGGUGCUCGGUGUCCCCGUGUCCUGCCAUGUUCCUGUGUCCCAUGUCCCCGUGUCCCUCACCAGGUGUUCGGUGUCCCCGUGUCCUGCCAUGUUCCUGUGUCCCCCCACGUCCCCGUGUCCCUCACCAGGUGCUCAGUGUCCCCAUGUCCUGCCAUGUUCCUGUGUCCCCCCACGUCCCCGUGUCCCUCACCAGGUGCUCGGUGUCCCCGUGUCCUGCCAUGUUCCUGUGUCCCCCCACGUCCCCGUGUCCCUCACCAGGUGUUCGGUGUCCCCGUGUCCUGCCAUGUCCCCGUGUCCCCCCGUGUCCCUCACCAGGUGCUCGGUGUCCCCGUGUCCUGCCAUGUUCCUGUGUCCCCCCAUGUCCCCACGUCCCCCCGUGUCCCUCACCAGGUGUGGGCCGAGGGCAGCCGGUCGGUGGAGCGGUCGUCGCGGUGGAUCUGGAAUUUCUGGAUGCCGUUCAUGCCCUCGAGGGCGGCGAAUCCCUGCAGGGGCACCUUGGACGUGCCCGUCACGAACUGCAGGAACUUGGCGCGGUCGGCCUGGUCGAAGGAGCGCAGGGCGCGCCAGAACCACUGGAUCUGGGCACGGGGACGGGGACAGGACGGGGACAGUCAGCCACUGGGACCCACCGGAAUCCCCCCAGGACCCCAGAAUCACCCAGAAUCCUGGAAUCCCCUGAGAUCCCUCCAGAAACCCCUGAAAUGUCCCCAGAACCUCCCAGGUGCCAGCCCCACCUGGAUGGAGUCACCCUGGUACCCAAAACAACCCCAGAACCCCCUGAAAUUGCCCCAGAACCUCCAGAAACACCCCCAGAACCCUGUGAAAUCCCCCCAGAACCUCCAGAAAUGCCCCCAGAACCCCCGGAGAUCCCCCAGAACCCCCUGAAAUCCCCCCAGAACCCCCUGAAAUCCCCCCAGAACCCUCUGAAUGCCAGCCCCACCUGGAUGGAGUCACCCUGGUACCCAAAAUAA